UGUUGUCCGAGGGCAAAGCUGAGCCGAUCCAGAUCCGGGCCACCUGUGUGGGCUAGCCUGCCCUCCCGUCUGCCUCCUGUCCUGUUUCCAGGAAGUGGUCACCAGGCUGCCCAGUGCCCCUCGCUCCCCCCGCUUCCACCUCCCAGACCAGCCAUAGGGUGGCGGCGGUGGGGAUCUGAGCUCUGUGGAGUGAUGGGACUGCUGAGGUGGUCAAUAAUCUAUUACUGCACAUGGGCCUCCACAGAGUGACAAAUGUCUGUCAGAGAAAUGGGCCCAGAGAGGUCAGAGCUGGGCUACUGACCUCAGCCCCCCUCAGCCACCGCAGACAGAUAGAUAGGAACAUGAGCGGGCUGACUCAGACUACGGUGCAGAGAAAUGGCACAAGUAUUCAAGACGGUACCUGAAGUAGGUUAAGCAGAAACACAUGGGCCUAGCCUGGCGGUGUGGUUGGGAAAAUGGGCUGGGACCUGAUUUAGAUAAAAACACGAUGACCCACAGGCA
Molecule: long non-coding RNA, 501 nt
Organism: Myripristis murdjan (pinecone soldierfish)
Lineage: Eukaryota; Metazoa; Chordata; Actinopteri; Holocentriformes; Holocentridae
Exons: 3
Source: RefSeq, a predicted model, not a curated record